This 449-nucleotide ribosomal RNA is filed under the name uncultured bacterium. Its description in RNAcentral is "partial 16S ribosomal RNA". It matches the Rfam family "Bacterial small subunit ribosomal RNA", at positions 29 to 523 of the family's 1533-position model. The record is from RNAcentral.
AGCGAACGCUGGCGGCAGGCUUAACACAUGCAAGUCGAACGGACCCUUCGGGGUUAGUGGCGGACGGGUGAGUAACACGUGGGAACGUGCCUUUAGGUUCGGAACAACACAGGGAAACUUGUGCUAAUACCGGAUGUGCCCUUCGGGGGAAAGAUUUAUCGCCUUUAGAGCGGCCCGCGUCUGAUUAGCUAGUUGGUGGGGUAAAGGCCUACCAAGGCGACGAUCAGUAGCUGGUCUGAGAGGAUGGCCAGCCACAUUGGGACUGAGACACGGCCCAAACUCCUACGGGAGGCAGCAGUGGGGAAUCUUGCGCAAUGGGCGAAAGCCUGACGCAGCCAUGCCGCGUGAAUGAUGAAGGUCUUAGGAUUGUAAAAUUCUUUCACCGGGGACGAUAAUGACGGUACCCGGAGAAGAAGCCCCGGCUAACUUCGUGCCAGCCGCCGCGGUAA